This 2043-nucleotide unclassified non-coding RNA is filed under the name Hevea brasiliensis (rubber tree). Lineage: Eukaryota; Viridiplantae; Streptophyta; Magnoliopsida; Malpighiales; Euphorbiaceae. The record is from RNAcentral.
UCUUGAUGUUCCUGAGCCAUGGCUCGUUGAGCCUGUAGUUGCUGUCCAUGACCUAGAUAAUAUGUUGCUUGAAAACCUGGGAGAGACUAGGACACUCCAAGCAGUGUAUGAACUUGAAGCACUAGUCCUGACAGGUCAUUGCUCUGAGAAGGAUCAGGAGCCUCCUAGAGGACUUCAGCUAAUCCUAGGCACUAAAAGUACACCUCACUUGGUUGACACACUUGUCAUGGCCAAUUUGGGUUACUGGCAAAUGAAAGCGUUUCCUGGAGUUUGGUACCUGCAGCUUGCUCCUGGUCGAAGCUCAGAGCUUUAUGCUUUGAAAGAUGAUGGUGAUGGUGGUCAGGAGACAACUUUGUCAAAACGGAUCAUUAUAGAUGAUUUGCGUGGUAAACUUGUUCACAUGGAAGUGAUUAAGAAAAAGGGCAAGGAACAUGAAAAACUGUUGGUUUCAGCUGAUGAAGAUAGCCAUUCACAAGAGAAGAAAAAGGGAAACCAGAACAGUUGGAAUUCUAAUAUUCUUAAAUGGGCUUCUGGAUUUAUUGGUGGCAGUGACCAAUCAAAGAAGAGUAAAAACACUCCAGUGGUAACCGGUGGUCGUCAUGGGAAGACGAUUAACAUAUUCUCUGUUGCUUCUGGACACUUAUAUGAACGCUUCCUAAAAAUUAUGAUACUAAGUGUUCUAAAGAAUACUCAACGGCCAGUGAAGUUCUGGUUCAUAAAAAACUAUUUGUCUCCUCAGUUCAAGGAUGUAAUCCCUCAUAUGGCUCGAGAAUAUGGUUUUGAAUAUGAACUAAUUACCUACAAAUGGCCUACAUGGUUGCACAAACAAAAGGAGAAGCAAAGAAUCAUUUGGGCAUAUAAAAUUCUAUUUCUUGAUGUCAUUUUCCCCCUGGCACUGGAGAAGGUUAUCUUCGUAGACGCAGACCAAAUUGUAAGAACUGACAUGGGAGAACUUUAUGACAUGGAUUUGAAAGGACGGCCACUUGCAUACACACCUUUCUGUGAUAACAACAGGGAGAUGGAUGGCUAUCGUUUUUGGAAACAAGGCUUCUGGAAAGAGCAUUUACGAGGAAGACCAUAUCAUAUUAGUGCUCUAUAUGUUGUCGAUCUGCUUAAAUUCCGGGAGACUGCUGCUGGAGAUAAUUUACGAGUGUUUUAUGAGACACUGAGCAAGGAUCCAAACAGUCUUUCAAAUCUGGAUCAGGAUCUCCCAAACUAUGCUCAGCAUACUGUACCCAUCUUUUCACUCCCACAAGAAUGGCUUUGGUGUGAGUCAUGGUGUGGUAAUGCAACAAAGCCCAAGGCAAAAACAAUAGACCUCUGCAAUAAUCCCAUGACAAAAGAACCCAAGCUUCAGGGCGCCAAGAGGAUUGUGGCAGAGUGGCCAGAACUUGACUAUGAAGCUAGACGCGUUACUGCAAAGAUCUUGGGUGAAGACUUUGAUCCCCAAGACCAGGCAGCACCUCCUGCUGAAACACAAAAAACCAUCAGCGAUACUCCAUUAGAAGAUGAGGAAUCCAAGUCAGAACUGUGAAUUUGAUGCUAGGCAAGUAUUCCUGGUGCUUAGACACCCCUUCUUAUCGGAUACAUUCACUUUGUGGUGCAUCUCAGCUGCCAUUGUAAAAAGGCUAAGAACAGUGUCUGUUGAGAUUGUCAAUUGAGGCAGAGACUUAGAAAAAUUGAUUAGCUAAGGCGGCCUUAAAUGCACGUUUACGUACCAAUUUUGCAAUUUGAUCUGCCCUUAGUUGUUAGUAGAGAGGCAGACUUGACAUCUCAUAUGGAUAGAUAGCUGCAGAAGAUUCUUGGUAAUAUAUCAUACUUACUAUGUGCUACUCUCCACAGAUUGGGCAGUUAGGAAACAACUUUCAAGAUCUUUUAUUGUUGAAAGUUGGAACAUUCUGCAUUUUUGAUAUGUAACAUUGAGGUCUCACCUACAUUCCAGUAACUUUUAAAGGUUUGAGCAGUUAAAUUACUACAUCCCUCCCCAACCUAUGUCAGUGGGAAUCAACACGUACAGUCAAUUUGAACAAACUUCAAUUUUUG